CCUGAGAGGCAGUCCCUGCAGCAGGCUUGAGCCUCUCUCACUGACAGCCUGCCUCGCAUAAUGUUAAGCAGGCAUCGGACACUUGCUGGAAGGCAGGGAAUUGCAAUGAAAGAGCACGGAGGUGAGAAGCUGUGCUCCUUGGGGUGAAGGCAGCUUCUGUGCUCCUGGGAUCUACUGUUAAGCCAGGGUGACGCCAGCUUGCAUGCUACCGGAGGGGAAGAGAAAAUUUGGACACACAGGGAGAAAACCACAGGGAGGAGAUGGCCAUCUACAAUUCCAGAAAAGCAGCCUCAGAAGAAACCAAUCUGCAAACAUCUUUAUCUGCAACUCCCUGCCUCCCAAAUGGAGUAAAGAGACAGAAAGGGAAUGAAUUUCCAAGAAGACCAGCGUA
RNAcentral lists this long non-coding RNA (391 nucleotides) under Homo sapiens (human). RNAcentral's name for it is "non-protein coding lnc-VSTM2B-7:6". The record is from RNAcentral. Lineage: Eukaryota; Metazoa; Chordata; Mammalia; Primates; Hominidae.